AUGGCAGCCUGGCUUAUUUUUAAAACAGGACAGGGACGCCAUAUUCUGCAGAUCUGCAAAAAAAGGGAGAAAUCCGGCGCUGGCCACCCAGCCGGCGCGGCGGCCGCUGCGCGCGAGCCCCGCUCCAUUUGCAAUCAGUUUAUUUGCAUUAAGCCCCAUGAAUCAUUGUUUACCGGAGAAUUGCGAGCAGGUUUGAAUAGCCCGGCUUUAAAAAAAAAAAAAAAGAGCCGGAGACACUUCCUCCCCCCGAGAGCCUGCCAGCCGCGAGCUGCUGCAGCCGCCGGCCCAGAGCCGGAGCUGAAGCCCGAGUCGGGUCCGGGGCUGCCGGGGGUAGUGGCCCCACAUAAGCGACGCGAGUCACGGGCGCUUUCAGGCGCGAUCGUGGACCAGAGAUCCCGCAGCCCCAGGCCUGCCCCGGGCCCGGCCCCGGCUGACAGCGGGUCCCCCUCCCCACGCCCCCGCCCCGGGCCCCGCAACUCCGCGCAACUUUUGCUCCAGGCGCCCGCCCUCGGGCCGGCCCGGGCCCGGCCUCUGUCUGUCCGUGCGUCCGUCCCGCCCGCGCCCCGGCCCCGGCCCCGGCCCCGCACAGACCUGGCUCCGCUUGCUCGCGGGCAGCUCCGGGGAUGCAACGAGAGCCCGCGCCGCCUCCGCCUCCGCUCGUGCCUCCGCCGGGGCCGCCCCGCUGCCCGCCGGCCGCCCUGCCUCCCGCCUCCGCCGCGGCCGGCCGGCCGAGGAGGGCUGGGCUCGGGCUGGGCUCCGCUUCGCUCCGCUCCGGCGGGGAAGCCCGAGCUCAAACCUUCCGGGUCGCCUGCUGUUCACUUCUGGGGGCUGCAGGCGCCGCUACCGCGGCGGCGGCCGAGGCUGGAGGAGGCGGGCGGCGGGCAGGCGGCGGGCGGCGGGCAGGCUCGCAGGCUCGCUCCCCUCGGCUCCUCCGCCAGCCAGCCCCGCUCCGGGGGCGCUCCCCGCCGUGUCCCCGGGGGCCGGCGCGGGCCCCCGCCUCUCCCCGGCUCCGCUGCGCUCCUGCCCCGGGGGCUCCCGAGAAUGGGCAGCGCCCGCCCGCCAGCCCGCCCGCCCGCCAGCCCGCGCUGCAGGGGGAGGGGGCGGGCUGGGGGCGGGAGGGGGGCGCGGGCGGUGCGCGCGUGGGGGAGAGCGGAGGAGGAGAGCCGAGAGGGGCGCGCGAGGGGGAGGGGCGGGGGCGCGGGCCGGCGCGCUCGCACGGGGGCUCCCCAGCGCUGGCCGCCGGCCCGAGCCACAAAGGACCCGGCCGGGCCGGCCGGACGAGCCCCGCGAGCCUCGAGGCCUGUGCCUUCUCCACCGGGGCCCGGGCUGCCCAUUGUCCUGGCGCGGCCCGCAGGGGCAGGCGGGCUGCAGGGCAAGCUAGGAGCGCCUCGCUUUGGGCCAGCCUCGGGCUUCUGGUCCCCACCGAGAUAA
This 1431-nucleotide long non-coding RNA is filed under the name Monodelphis domestica (gray short-tailed opossum). RNAcentral's name for it is "lncRNA (ENSMODG00000039014.1)". Lineage: Eukaryota; Metazoa; Chordata; Mammalia; Didelphimorphia; Didelphidae. The record is from RNAcentral.